GUUGCUUCUCGGCCUUUUGGCUAAGAUCAAGUGUAGAAUCUCCUAGCAUCUAUCUUAGCAUUCCAUUAGACACUCAUUGAGGGCAAGCUUCUCUGGAAGUCCUCUGAUGCCUAGUAGGACAUUUUGCUAUGUUGCUCAAUCUAUGUUUAUUGUAUUACAUUUCUACACAUCUUUAAAAAAAUUUUU
Small nuclear RNA from Herpailurus yagouaroundi (jaguarundi), 186 nucleotides. RefSeq annotates it as U2 spliceosomal RNA. The record is from RefSeq and is a predicted model, not a curated record. NCBI's taxonomy places the organism in Eukaryota, Metazoa, Chordata, Mammalia, Carnivora, Felidae. The transcript has a single exon.